RNAcentral lists this ribosomal RNA (510 nucleotides) under Candida albicans. Its description in RNAcentral is "eukaryotic LSU rRNA". The stretch from base 143 to 296 matches the Rfam family "5.8S ribosomal RNA". Lineage: Eukaryota; Fungi; Ascomycota; Pichiomycetes; Serinales; Debaryomycetaceae. The record is from RNAcentral.
GGAUACUGAGUGCUUAUUGCACCACAUGUGUUUUUCUUUGAAACAAACUUGCUUUGGCGGUGGGCCCAGCCUGCCGCCAGAGGUCUAAACUUACAACCAAUUUUUUAUCAACUUGUCACACCAGAUUAUUACUAAUAGUCAAAACUUUCAACAACGGAUCUCUUGGUUCUCGCAUCGAUGAAGAACGCAGCGAAAUGCGAUACGUAAUAUGAAUUGCAGAUAUUCGUGAAUCAUCGAAUCUUUGAACGCACAUUGCGCCCUCUGGUAUUCCGGAGGGCAUGCCUGUUUGAGCGUCGUUUCUCCCUCAAACCGCUGGGUUUGGUGUUGAGCAAUACGACUUGGGUUUGCUUGAAAGACGGUAGUGGUAAGGCGGGAUCGCUUUGACAAUGGCUUAGGUCUAACCAAAAACAUUGCUUGCGGCGGUAACGUCCACCACGUAUAUCUUCAAACUUUGACCUCAAAUCAGGUAGGACUACCCGCUGAACUUAAGCAUAUCAAUAAGCGGAGGAA